This 327-nucleotide ribosomal RNA is filed under the name uncultured eukaryote. Its description in RNAcentral is "partial 18S ribosomal RNA". It matches the Rfam family "Eukaryotic small subunit ribosomal RNA", at positions 1470 to 1796 of the family's 1831-position model. The record is from RNAcentral.
CCCUUAGAUGUUCUGGGCUGCACGCGCGCUACACUGAUGCAUGCAACGAGUUUUCGACCUUGCCUGAAAAGGUUGGGUAAUCUGUUUAACAUGUGUCGUGAUGGGGAUAGACCAUUGCAAUUAUUGAUCUUCAACGAGGAAUUCCUAGUAGACGCGAGUCAUAAGCUCGCAUCGAUUAAGUCCCUGCCCUUUGUACACACCGCCCGUCGCUACUACCGAUUGAACGUUUUAGUGAGGCAUUUGGACCGACGCAUCUCAGUUUAACCGCUGGUUUGUGUUGGAAAGACUUCCAAACUUGAGCGUUUAGAGGAAGUAAAAGUCGUAACA